GCAGUCCACGGCAAAACCUUUCAAGCAGAGCAAGAAGGCCCGAAUGAGGGAGGGAUGCAGCGGAGCUAACAUCUCAGGAUGCACCUUACAAAAGCCACAUUGUUUCAAUGACUAAUGGGGCAGAAGACAGGUGGAUAGGUGUGGCACCCGAUUUAUUUUCUGAUACAGCAACUAGAGGACAUGAAACAAAUAGCAGGCAAGAGGUUUGAGACAGAGAGAGACACUACACUAUGCAAUUCGGAAUCUCUGAGCCCCAAGACCUGGAGGACAAGGAACUGCUGAAGGAAAAUACCACGUUAUGCUUGUCCAGCUGUUAUGCUCUCCCAUAUGCCUAUACUUGCUGGCCAUUUUCACAGAUCCUGAAAAUCCCAACAAGGAGCAUGUGCCUAUUGACCUGUGCAGGCAUUUCAAGCUGCUGCAGCACACUGGGUUGUUACAAGCUGGUAAACGGUAAUCCCACAUGGACUGAUAUUUGGCAAUAUUUUAAGUGUGGCAACUUGAGCAAGACUCUGGGCUCUCAGUUAGAAAUACUUUAUCACAGAGGAGUUACUUAUUCAGGUUAG
RNAcentral lists this long non-coding RNA (563 nucleotides) under Anser cygnoides (Swan goose). Its description in RNAcentral is "lncRNA (ENSACDG00005002545.1)". Lineage: Eukaryota; Metazoa; Chordata; Aves; Anseriformes; Anatidae. The record is from RNAcentral.